AACGAACGCUGGCGGCAUGCCUAACACAUGCAAGUCGAACGAGAUCUUCGGGUCUAGUGGCGCACGGGUGCGUAACGCGUGGGAAUCUGCCCUUUGGUUCGGAAUAACAGUUGGAAACGACUGCCAAUACCGGAUGAUGACGAAAGUCCAAAGAUUUAUCGCCAGAGGAUGAGCCCGCGUAGGAUUAGCUAGUUGGUGUGGUAAAGGCGCACCAAGGCGACGAUCCUUAGCUGGUCUGAGAGGAUGAUCAGCCACACUGGGACUGAGACACGGCCAGGACUCCGCGGGGAGGAAGCAGUGGGGAAUUUUGGAAGAGGGGCGAACGCCUGAUCCAGCAGUGCCGCGUGAGUGAUGAAGGCUUUAGGGUUGUAAAGCUCUUUUACCCGGGCUGAUAAUGACAUGCCGGGGAGAAUAACUCCCGGCUACCCCCGUGCCGCCCGCCGCCGAAA
Molecule: ribosomal RNA, 449 nt
Filed under: uncultured bacterium
Lineage: Bacteria
Description: partial 16S ribosomal RNA
Rfam family: Bacterial small subunit ribosomal RNA
Source: RNAcentral